GUGCUCACUUUGGCAGCACAUACACUGAAACUGGAAUAAUACAGAGUAGAUUAGCAUACCCCACACAAGGAUGACAUAAAUUCGUGAAGCAUUCCAUAUUUUU
Small nuclear RNA from Phyllostomus discolor (pale spear-nosed bat), 103 nucleotides. Lineage: Eukaryota; Metazoa; Chordata; Mammalia; Chiroptera; Phyllostomidae. The record is from RefSeq and is a predicted model, not a curated record.